Molecule: ribosomal RNA, 459 nt
Filed under: uncultured bacterium
Lineage: Bacteria
Description: partial 16S ribosomal RNA
Rfam family: Bacterial small subunit ribosomal RNA
Source: RNAcentral
CCUACGGGAGGCAGCAGUAGGGAAUCUUCCACAAUGGGCGAAAGCCUGAUGGAGCGACGCCGCGUGGGGGAUGAAGCCCUUCGGGGUGUAAACCCCUUUUCGGGGGGAAGAAUAAGGGCUUUAAUAAGGCCCGAUGACGGUACCCCCGGAAUAAGCCACGGCUAACUCUGUGCCAGCAGCCGCGGUAAGACAGAGGCGGCGAGCGUUACCCGGAUUCACUGGGCGUAAAGGGUGUGUAGGCGGUCGCGCAUGUCGUCGGUGAAAUCCCCCGGCUCAACGGGGAGAGGUCCGACGAAACUGCGCGGCUGGAGGGCCGGAGAGGGAGGCGAAACUUCCAGGGUAGCGGUGAAAUGCGUAGAUACUGGAAGGUACCUCAAUAGCGAAGGCAGCCUCCUGGCCGGCUCCUGACGCUGAGACACGAAAGCGUGGGGAGCAAACCGGAUUAGAUACCCCGGUAGU